Long non-coding RNA from Brassica napus (rape), 1472 nucleotides. RefSeq lists it as uncharacterized. The transcript is spliced from 3 exons. NCBI's taxonomy places the organism in Eukaryota, Viridiplantae, Streptophyta, Magnoliopsida, Brassicales, Brassicaceae. The record is from RefSeq and is a predicted model, not a curated record.
GAAGGGAUCAAAAAGAAAGAACUUGUGUCAAUCGGAGAACUCAACACGUCGAGCAGGUAGCACUCACGCUUUGAACACAUUUUGUUAGUCAUAUGUGGGUUUUAAAUAGCCGCAUAAAAUGGUAACUAUGUUGUUUUUGUUUAGACAUAGGAAGCUGAUUUUAUUUAUAAAACUCGGAUUGUUGGGGUCCUCCAACAAAAUGGAUGGUCAUUCGUCUCUUGCACUUGGAUGCAGGUGGAAGUUGGUAAUCCGGCUCUUCCCUUCAGGGCUACAGAUGUGUUUCUCACAAAGUGACCGGGGUUAUCAGGUUCCAAGUUGAGCUAGCGGUUAUGAUAGCAAUGAUAGUGCCACGUUUGUAGUCUUCGACAGGGAGAUGACUAAGCUCACCAAGAAAGAUGCGCCUACACUGGCUCUUGAGGAGAAUAGUGGUGUUGGAAGGCAUGAGCUACCAAGAUGCCUUGAAAAGCUAGAUGGCAAAGACUACUUCUUCCAGAUUCGUUUCACUCCAUACAAUUUCACCCCCAAACCACUGUACCUUAACCGUCUCUACAAUCAGUGACGAUAGGUUCUUUGGCACUCAGGCGUAGGUGGAGUAAUAUAAGUUUUUCAACACUUUUUCUUCUUUCUAAAUUAAUAUAACACAUGUAUAGCAGCAACCAAACUACAGUCGUGGACAGCGAAGGUGGACAAGCAACAGCGUCUGCUAGCAAUACGGUUGUUACGGCUAAGAUAGCAACGGGAGUUAAAGAACCAAAUCCAAGCAACGGGAGUUAAAGAACCAAAUCCACCAAACCAUCAACGACCACUUAGCUUUCGUGUCUUUUAUUAUUGCUAAUUUCCUAUUUUUUUUUCAUUUUGAACUUUGGUCGCGUCUUGCAUUUUUUGCAAACUCUCACCCCCGGAGACACGUAACUUUAUUAAUAAAUAAUAAUGGUAACGUUCACGAAUCCUUUGCAUACUAAAAAUAACAAAUAUGGGGUUAUCUUAAGACUAUUUAACAGACAGCAAAACAAACAAUAUAAAUAUAUAAUCCAUCCUUGGGUGUUUGCAGAUUUAUCCCAAAUAAAUACCAAUUUCAACUGUUUUUCCCACACCAAAGUCCACAACAACAGCACAAGUCCACAACAACAACACAAUAAACCUCGCAGUUCAAAACACCCCAUAAAACUUCAAAUUUUUCAAAUCUCAGCAAAACACCUUCACAAUCUCAACAACUUCAACAACAUCGAUUUCUCGUACAGAGUUAGAGACAACGCAACAACAACGUACAUAUCCUUGCACUUGCGCGGGCUCCGCUCCUAGUAUAAAUAAAAUGGAAACUAUUAUUUAAUAAAACCGGGUUACCGGGUGACGGUUGUUACAUAAACCUUCAGGACAACACAAAACAUCCUCGGUAACACUACUUAAAAAAUUUCAUCACACCAAAACACGUCCUCAUAACAUUAAUUUACAUUUUCUCGAAAGAAAUUAAA